This 689-nucleotide ribosomal RNA is filed under the name Salmonella enterica. Its description in RNAcentral is "partial 23S ribosomal RNA". It matches the Rfam family "Bacterial large subunit ribosomal RNA", at positions 2115 to 2803 of the family's 2925-position model. The record is from RNAcentral. Lineage: Bacteria; Pseudomonadati; Pseudomonadota; Gammaproteobacteria; Enterobacterales; Enterobacteriaceae.
CACUGAACAUUGAGCCUUGAUGUGUAGGAUAGGUGGGAGGCUUUGAAGCGUGGACGCCAGUCUGCGUGGAGCCGACCUUGAAAUACCACCCUUUAAUGUUUGAUGUUCUAACGUGGACCCGUGAUCCGGGUUGCGGACAGUGUCUGGUGGGUAGUUUGACUGGGGCGGUCUCCUCCUAAAGAGUAACGGAGGAGCACGAAGGUUGGCUAAUCCUGGUCGGACAUCAGGAGGUUAGUGCAAUGGCAUAAGCCAGCUUGACUGCGAGCGUGACGGCGCGAGCAGGUGCGAAAGCAGGUCAUAGUGAUCCGGUGGUUCUGAAUGGAAGGGCCAUCGCUCAACGGAUAAAAGGUACUCCGGGGAUAACAGGCUGAUACCGCCCAAGAGUUCAUAUCGACGGCGGUGUUUGGCACCUCGAUGUCGGCUCAUCACAUCCUGGGGCUGAAGUAGGUCCCAAGGGUAUGGCUGUUCGCCAUUUAAAGUGGUACGCGAGCUGGGUUUAGAACGUCGUGAGACAGUUCGGUCCCUAUCUGCCGUGGGCGCUGGAGAACUGAGGGGGGCUGCUCCUAGUACGAGAGGACCGGAGUGGACGCAUCACUGGUGUUCGGGUUGUCAUGCCAAUGGCACUGCCCGGUAGCUAAAUGCGGAAGAGAUAAGUGCUGAAAGCAUCUAAGCACGAAACUUGCCCCGAG